This 1884-nucleotide ribosomal RNA is filed under the name human gut metagenome. RNAcentral's name for it is "bacterial LSU rRNA". It matches the Rfam family "Bacterial large subunit ribosomal RNA", at positions 3 to 1980 of the family's 2925-position model. The record is from RNAcentral.
UCAAGCGAACAAGGGCGCAGGGCGAAUGCCUUGGCACUGGGAGCCGAUGAAAGACGUGAUAAGCUGCGAUAAGCUUCGGGGAGCUGCAAAUAAGCAUUGAUCCGGAGAUUUCUGAAUGAGGAAACUCACCUGGGUUCAUACUCAGGUACAAUACACUGAAAUUCAAAAUAGGUGUAUUGAGGGAACCGCCUGAACUGAAACAUCUAAGUAGGGCGAGGAAGAGACAUCAAACGAGAUUCCGUAAGUAGUGGCGAGCGAACGCGGAAGAGGGCAAACCGAGAGUAGAAAUACUUUCGGGGUACGGACUGCUUUUAAGACUUAAUCUGUUAACCGAACGGCAUGGGAAGGCCGGUCAGAGAGUGUGAGAACCACGUAGGUGAAAACGGAGAGAGCUGCGCAGGAUCCAGAGUACGGCCAGACACGUGAAACCUGGUCGGAAUACGGGGGGACCACCCUCCAACCCUAAAUACUACCCAGUGACCGAUAGCGUAUAGUACUGUGAAGGAAAGGUGAAAAGCACCCCGGGAGGGGAGUGAAAAAGAACCUGAAACCCUGUGCCUACAAGCACCUAGAGCGCGUCAAAGCGUGAUAGGGUACUUUUUGUAGAACGGUCCGGCGAGCGAUUGUAUGCAGCAAGGUUAAGGACUUAAGGUCUGGAGCCGAAGCGAAAGCGAGUUUGAAAAGGGCGUUAAGUUGCAUAUAAUGGGCCCGAAACCGGGUGACCUACCCAUGGUCAGGUUGAAGUGGAAGUAAAAUUCCAUGGAGGACCGAACCGACCUCCGUUGAAAAGGCGGCGGAUGAACUGUGGGUAGCGGAGAAAUUCCAAUCGAACCCGGAGAUAGCUGGUUCUCCCCGAAAUAGUUUUAGGACUAGCCUCAAGUUAGAUACCUGGAGGUAAAGCACUGAAUAGCCUAGCGGCCGAGAGGUUAGCGAAGCUUAUCAAACUCAGAAUGCCAGAGUAUUGAUGCUUGGGAGUCAGACAGUGUCAGAUAAAUGUCAUUGUCAAAAGGGAAACAGCCCAGAUCUACAGCUAAGGUCCCAAAGUCAGGUUAAGUGGAAAACGAUGUGAAGAUACGCAGACAACCAGGAUGUUGGCUCAGAAGCAGCCACUCAUUCAAAGAGUGCGUAAUAGCUCACUGGUCGAGCGUCUUUGCGCGGAGAAUUUAACGGGGCUAAACCUGACACCGAAGCUUAGGCAAUGUAGUAAUACAUUGGGUAGGGGAGCGUUGUAUACGCGGAGAAACAGUAGCGCAAGCGGCUGUGGAGUGUAUAGAAGUGAGAAUGCCGGAAUGAGUAGCGCGAAUGCAGUGAGAAUCUGCAUGGCCGAAAGCCUCAGGUUUCUGGAGGAAGGUUCGUCCGCUCCAGGUUAGUCGGGAGCUAAGGUGAGGCCGAAAGGCGUAGCCGAUGCACAGACGGUAGAGAUUCCGUCACCACCAAAAGAGUUAAGCACAGGGACACAUUUGAAGUCUCAGAGCCGGGUGUUGGUUCCGGUAGAGAUCGAGGGAAGUUAGUACCGAAGUCUGAGAUGGAAGAUGGCGAGAAAAGCUGUGUGUAUUUCUGAGGUGCCCGUACCGCAAACCGACACAGGUAGGUAGGAAGAAGAUUCUAAGGCCAACGGGAGAAGGGUUGUUAAGGAACUCGGCAAAUUGACCCCGUAACUUCGGGAGAAGGGGUGCUCCAGAGAUGGAGCCGCAGAGAAUCGGCCCAAGCAACUGUUUACCAAAAACACAGGUUUGUGCUAAAUCGAAAGAUGACGUAUACGAGCUGACGCCUGCCCGGUGCUGGAAGGUUAAGAGGAGAUGUGCAAGCAUUGAAUCGAAGCCCCAGUGAACGGCGGCCGUAACUAUAACGGUCCUAAGGUAGCGAAAUUCCUUGUCAGGUAAG